RNAcentral lists this ribosomal RNA (486 nucleotides) under uncultured bacterium. Its description in RNAcentral is "partial 16S ribosomal RNA". It matches the Rfam family "Bacterial small subunit ribosomal RNA", at positions 28 to 507 of the family's 1533-position model. The record is from RNAcentral.
GACGAACGCUGGCGGCGUGCUUAACACAUGCAAGUCGAACGCUGAAGACCUGGCUUUUGUUGGGUUGGAUGAGUGGCGAAUGGGUGAGUAACACGUGAGUAACCUGCACUCUUCUUUGGGAUAACGCCCGGAAACGGGUGCUAAUACUGGAUAUUCACUGAUCUUCGCAUGGGGGUUGGCGGAAAGGCUUGUUCUGGUGGGGGAUGGGCUCGCGGCCUAUCAGCUUGUUGGUGGGGUGAUGGCCUACCAAGGCUUUGACGGGUAGCUGGCCUGGAAGGGUGACCGGUGACGUUGGAACUGGGAAACGGCCCAGACGCCUGCGGGAGGGAGGAGUGGGGGAUAUUGCACAAUGGGCGAAAGCCAGAUGCAGCGACGCGGCGUGAGGGAUGUAGGCCUUCGAGGUACAAACCUCUUUCGCUCAUGGUCAAGCCGCAACUGCUGGUUGUGGUGAGGGUAGUGGGUAAAGAAGCGCCGGCUAACUACGUG